AAAACAUGUCUAUAUGAAAGCUGAAUAUAGUAUGGCCUGCCCACUGAUUUGAAAGUUAAAGGGCCGCAGUAUCUUGACUGUGCAAAGGUAGCAUAAUCAUUAGUUUCUUAAUUGGGAGCUCGUAUGAACGGUCGGACGAGAAAAAUACUGUUUCUUCUGAGAAUUUUGAACUUAACUUUUAGGUGCAAAGGCCUAAAUGAAUUUGGGGGACGAUAAGACCCUAUAAAUCUUUACAACGGUCUUAUUAUUUGGAUAGUCUGUUUGUCUAUAUCUGGUGAUAAGACUUGGUUGUUUCGCUGGGGCGGCGUCUAUAAAAUGAUUAACUGUUUUAAAAUAGAACAAUUAUUUUUGAUUAAAGCUUAAAGAUCCUUGUUAGAGAUUACAAGUUAAAGUUACUUUAGGGAUAACAGCGUUAUUUUUUUUAAGAGUUCAUAUCUAAAAAAGAGUUUGCGACCUCGAUGUUGAAUUAAAAUUUCCUAAGGGUUGUAGAAGCUCCGGGGGAGAGUCUGUUCGACUUUUAAAUUUUUACAUGAUUUGAGUUCAGACCGGCGUGAGCCAGGUUGU
Molecule: ribosomal RNA, 564 nt
Filed under: Albunea paretii
Lineage: Eukaryota; Metazoa; Arthropoda; Malacostraca; Decapoda; Albuneidae
Description: partial 16S ribosomal RNA
Rfam family: Bacterial large subunit ribosomal RNA
Source: RNAcentral